This 2872-nucleotide ribosomal RNA is filed under the name Enterobacter sp. A11. RNAcentral describes it as "23S ribosomal RNA". It matches the Rfam family "Bacterial large subunit ribosomal RNA". The record is from RNAcentral. Lineage: Bacteria; Pseudomonadati; Pseudomonadota; Gammaproteobacteria; Enterobacterales; Enterobacteriaceae.
GGGUUGUGAGGUUAAGCGACUAAGCGUACACGGUGGAUGCCCUGGCAGUCAGAGGCGAUGAAGGACGUGCUAAUCUGCGAAAAGCGCCGGCGAGGUGAUAUGAACCUUUGACCCGGCGAUGUCCGAAUGGGGAAACCCAGUGUGAUUCGUCACACUAUCGUUAACUGAAUACAUAGGUUAACGAGGCGAACCGGGGGAACUGAAACAUCUAAGUACCCCGAGGAAAAGAAAUCAACCGAGAUUCCCCCAGUAGCGGCGAGCGAACGGGGAGCAGCCCAGAGUCUGAAUCAGCUUGUGUGUUAGUGGAACGGUCUGGAAAGUCCGACGGUACAGGGUGAUAGUCCCGUACACGAAAAUGCACAGGUUGUGAACUCGAAGAGUAGGGCGGGACACGUGGUAUCCUGUCUGAAUAUGGGGGGACCAUCCUCCAAGGCUAAAUACUCCUGACUGACCGAUAGUGAACCAGUACCGUGAGGGAAAGGCGAAAAGAACCCCGGCGAGGGGAGUGAAAAAGAACCUGAAACCGUGUACGUACAAGCAGUGGGAGCACCUUCGUGGUGUGACUGCGUACCUUUUGUAUAAUGGGUCAGCGACUUAUAUUCUGUAGCAAGGUUAACCGUAUAGGGGAGCCGAAGGGAAACCGAGUCUUAACUGGGCGUUAAGUUGCAGGGUAUAGACCCGAAACCCGGUGAUCUAGCCAUGGGCAGGUUGAAGGUUGGGUAACACUAACUGGAGGACCGAACCGACUAAUGUUGAAAAAUUAGCGGAUGACUUGUGGCUGGGGGUGAAAGGCCAAUCAAACCGGGAGAUAGCUGGUUCUCCCCGAAAGCUAUUUAGGUAGCGCCUCGUGAACUCAUCUUCGGGGGUAGAGCACUGUUUCGGCUAGGGGGCCAUCCCGGCUUACCAACCCGAUGCAAACUACGAAUACCGAAGAAUGUUAUCACGGGAGACACACGGCGGGUGCUAACGUCCGUCGUGAAGAGGGAAACAACCCAGACCGCCAGCUAAGGUCCCAAAGUCAUGGUUAAGUGGGAAACGAUGUGGGAAGGCACAGACAGCCAGGAUGUUGGCUUAGAAGCAGCCAUCAUUUAAAGAAAGCGUAAUAGCUCACUGGUCGAGUCGGCCUGCGCGGAAGAUGUAACGGGGCUAAACCAUGCACCGAAGCUGCGGCAGCGACUGCUGGAGGUAUCAGAAGUGCGAAUGCUGACAUAAGUAACGAUAAUGCGGGUGAAAAGCCCGCACGCCGGAAGACCAAGGGUUCCUGUCCAACGUUAAUCGGGGCAGGGUGAGUCGACCCCUAAGGCGAGGCCGAAAGGCGUAGUCGAUGGGAAACAGGUUAAUAUUCCUGUACUUGGUGUUACUGCGAAGGGGGGACGGAGAAGGCUAUGUUAGCCGGGCGACGGUUGUCCCGGUUUAAGCAUGUAGGCGGAGGUUCCAGGUAAAUCCGGUACCUUAUUAACGCUGAGGUGUGAUGACGAGGCACUACGGUGCUGAAGUAACAAAUGCCCUGCUUCCAGGAAAAGCCUCUAAGCAUCAGGUAACAUCAAAUCGUACCCCAAACCGACACAGGUGGUCAGGUAGAGAAUACCAAGGCGCUUGAGAGAACUCGGGUGAAGGAACUAGGCAAAAUGGUGCCGUAACUUCGGGAGAAGGCACGCUGAUAUGUAGGUGAAGCCCCUGCGGGUGGAGCUGAAAUCAGUCGAAGAUACCAGCUGGCUGCAACUGUUUAUUAAAAACACAGCACUGUGCAAACACGAAAGUGGACGUAUACGGUGUGACGCCUGCCCGGUGCCGGAAGGUUAAUUGAUGGGGUUAGCGGCAACGCGAAGCUCUUGAUCGAAGCCCCGGUAAACGGCGGCCGUAACUAUAACGGUCCUAAGGUAGCGAAAUUCCUUGUCGGGUAAGUUCCGACCUGCACGAAUGGCGUAAUGAUGGCCAGGCUGUCUCCACCCGAGACUCAGUGAAAUUGAACUCGCUGUGAAGAUGCAGUGUACCCGCGGCAAGACGGAAAGACCCCGUGAACCUUUACUAUAGCUUGACACUGAACACUGGUCCUUGAUGUGUAGGAUAGGUGGGAGGCUUUGAAGCGUGGACGCCAGUCUGCGUGGAGCCGACCUUGAAAUACCACCCUUUAAUGGCUGGUGUUCUAACGUAGACCCGUAAUCCGGGUUGCGGACAGUGUCUGGUGGGUAGUUUGACUGGGGCGGUCUCCUCCCAAAGAGUAACGGAGGAGCACGAAGGUUAGCUAAUCCUGGUCGGACAUCAGGAGGUUAGUGCAAUGGCAUAAGCUAGCUUGACUGCGAGAGUGACGGCUCGAGCAGGUGCGAAAGCAGGUCAUAGUGAUCCGGUGGUUCUGAAUGGAAGGGCCAUCGCUCAACGGAUAAAAGGUACUCCGGGGAUAACAGGCUGAUACCGCCCAAGAGUUCAUAUCGACGGCGGUGUUUGGCACCUCGAUGUCGGCUCAUCACAUCCUGGGGCUGAAGUAGGUCCCAAGGGUAUGGCUGUUCGCCAUUUAAAGUGGUACGCGAGCUGGGUUUAGAACGUCGUGAGACAGUUCGGUCCCUAUCUGCCGUGGGCGCUGGAGAAUUGAGGGGGGCUGCUCCUAGUACGAGAGGACCGGAGUGGACGCAUCACUGGUGUUCGGGUUGUCAUGCCAAUGGCACUGCCCGGUAGCUAAAUGCGGAAGAGAUAAGUGCUGAAAGCAUCUAAGCACGAAACUUGCCCCGAGAUGAGUUCUCCCUGACCCUUUAAGGGUCCUGAAGGAACGUUGAAGACUACGACGUUGAUAGGUCGGGUGUGUAAGCGCAGCGAUGCGUUGAGCUAACCGAUACUAAUGAACCGUGAGGCUUAACCUUACAACGCCGAAGCUGUU